CAAUCAUAUUUAUUUAUAACACUCAAAUUCGAUGAAACACAUAUAAUAUCUAAUAAAAUUUAUCAACACGAUAUAAUAUUUGAUAAUAAUAUAAAAUUCAACGAGACACGCUAUUUCCGUAAAAUACAUAAGUAAUAAAAAAAUAAUAUUUAAUCUUAUAAUUACGUAAAUUUAUUGAUCUAAUAGUAUUAUUGUAGAG
This 199-nucleotide long non-coding RNA is filed under the name Lathyrus oleraceus (garden pea). RNAcentral's name for it is "Pisum sativum (pea) long non-coding RNA (PSAT_LNC025950)". The record is from RNAcentral. Lineage: Eukaryota; Viridiplantae; Streptophyta; Magnoliopsida; Fabales; Fabaceae.